RNAcentral lists this ribosomal RNA (497 nucleotides) under uncultured bacterium. RNAcentral's name for it is "partial 16S ribosomal RNA". It matches the Rfam family "Bacterial small subunit ribosomal RNA", at positions 28 to 507 of the family's 1533-position model. The record is from RNAcentral.
GAUGAACGCUGGCGGCGUGCCUAAUACAUGCAAGUCGAGCGAACGGACGAGAAGCUUGCUUCUCUGAUGUUAGCGGCGGACGGGUGAGUAACACGUGGAUAACCCACCUAUAAGACUGGGAUAACUUCGGGAAACCGGAGCUAAUACCGGAUAAUAUUUUGAACCGCAUGGUUCAAAAGUGAAAGACGGUCUUGCUGUCACUUAUAGAUGGAUCCGCGCUGCAUUAGCUAGUUGGUAAGGUAACGGCUUACCAAGGCAACGAUGCCUAGCCGACCUGAGAGGGUGAUCGGCCACACUGGAACUGAGACACGGUCCAGACUCCUACGGGAGGCAGCAGUAGGGAAUCUUCCGCAAUGGGCGAAAGCCUGACGGAGCAACGCCGCGUGAGUGAUGAAGGUCUUCGGAUCGUAAAACUCUGUUAUUAGGGAAGAACAGAUGUGGAAGUAACUGUGCACAUCUUGACGGUACCUAAUCAGAAAGCCCCGGCUAACUACGUG